RNAcentral lists this small nuclear RNA (23 nucleotides) under Arabidopsis thaliana (thale cress). RNAcentral describes it as "snRNA_04123". Lineage: Eukaryota; Viridiplantae; Streptophyta; Magnoliopsida; Brassicales; Brassicaceae. The record is from RNAcentral.
UUUCAUGACCAUUUGCGCUAGUC